AAGGCUUUAAGUUAAAUAAACUCAUAGCCUUCAAAGCUAUAAAUAUAGGGAUAUCCUUUAAGUCUUA
Molecule: transfer RNA, 67 nt
Filed under: Drosophila koepferae
Lineage: Eukaryota; Metazoa; Arthropoda; Insecta; Diptera; Drosophilidae
Description: tRNA-Trp
Source: RNAcentral